Molecule: non-coding RNA, 217 nt
Filed under: Streptomyces sp. Ncost-T10-10d
Lineage: Bacteria; Bacillati; Actinomycetota; Actinomycetes; Kitasatosporales; Streptomycetaceae
Description: Streptomyces sRNA 4677
Rfam family: Streptomyces sRNA 4677
About the family: Located in the intergenic region between anti-sigma factor SCO4677 gene and a putative regulatory protein gene SCO4676. scr4677 expression requires the SCO4677 activity and scr4677 sRNA itself seem to affect the levels of the SCO4676-associated transcripts.
Source: Rfam by way of RNAcentral
GGACCCGGUGAGUCACGGACCUCCCCAAAGAACCUGGGGAAAGAACUACCUACCCUCCCCGCCUCUCCCAACUCGUCACUCACACGGGUGACUUGGUUGCAUAUGCGGGGUGGGGCCGGUUACGUUCGCCGCGACAACCUCGCACACAAAGACGGCCCCCGGCCGGGACGGCAAUCCCGAUCGAAGGCCUGACCACCCAGGAAGUAGACCCUUCCCG